AUUGAACGCUGGCGGCAUGCCUUACACAUGCAAGUCGAACGGCAGCACGGGUGCUUGCACCUGGUGGCGAGUGGCGAACGGGUGAGUAAUACAUCGGAACAUGUCCUGUAGUGGGAGAUAGCCCGGCGAAAGCCGGAUUAAUACCGCAUACGAUCCACGGAUGAAAGCGGGGGACCUUCGGGCCUCGCGCUAUAGGGUUGGCCGAUGGCUGAUUAGCUAGUUGGUGGGGUAAAGGCCUACCAAGGCGACGAUCAGUAGCUGGUCUGAGAGGACGACCAGCCACACUGGGACUGAGACACGGCCCAGACUCCUACGGGAGGCAGCAGUGGGGAAUUUUGGACAAUGGGCGAAAGCCUGAUCCAGCAAUGCCGCGUGUGUGAAGAAGGCCUUCGGGUUGUAAAGCACUUUUGUCCGGAAAGAAAUCCUUGACUCUAAUACAGUCGGGGGAUGACGGUACCGGAAGAAUAAGCACCGGCUAACUACGUG
RNAcentral lists this ribosomal RNA (486 nucleotides) under uncultured bacterium. RNAcentral's name for it is "partial 16S ribosomal RNA". It matches the Rfam family "Bacterial small subunit ribosomal RNA", at positions 30 to 507 of the family's 1533-position model. The record is from RNAcentral.